This is a small nucleolar RNA of Andrographis paniculata, 89 nucleotides long. RefSeq annotates it as small nucleolar RNA snoR53Y. The record is from RefSeq and is a predicted model, not a curated record. Lineage: Eukaryota; Viridiplantae; Streptophyta; Magnoliopsida; Lamiales; Acanthaceae. The transcript has a single exon.
GUUCCUUGUGAUGAUCGAUUCGAUAAACCAUGCUAAUUCUGAUUGUUUUGUGAUUGAAAUUUAUUUCACAUAUUUCUUCUGAAGGAACA